GAUGAACGCUGGCGGCGUGCCUAACACAUGCAAGUCGAGCGAUUCUCUUCGGAGAAGAGCGGCGGACGGGUGAGUAACGCGUGGGUAACCUGCCCUGUACACACGGAUAACAUACCGAAAGGUAUGCUAAUACGAGAUAAUAUACUUUUAUCGCAUGGUAGAAGUAUCAAAGCUUUUGCGGUACAGGAUGGACCCGCGUCUGAUUAGCUAGUUGGUAAGGUAACGGCUUACCAAGGCGACGAUCAGUAGCCGACCUGAGAGGGUGAUCGGCCACAUUGGAACCGAGACACGGUCCAAACUCCUACGGGAGGCAGCAGUGGGGAAUAUUGCACAAUGGGCGAAAGCCUGAUGCAGCAACGCCGCGUGGGCGAUGAAGGCCUUCGGGUCGUAAAGCUCUGUCCUCAAGGAAGAUAAUGACGGUACUUGAGGAGGAAGCCCCGGCUAACUACGUGCCAGCCGCCGCGGUAA
Molecule: ribosomal RNA, 468 nt
Filed under: uncultured bacterium
Lineage: Bacteria
Description: partial 16S ribosomal RNA
Rfam family: Bacterial small subunit ribosomal RNA
Source: RNAcentral